AAGAGUCAGAGAGAGAGAGCGAGAGAGAGCGAAGAGUCAGAGAGCGAGAGAGAGCGAGAGAGAGCAAGAAGUCAGAGAGCGAAGAGUCAGAGAGCGAGAGAGAGCGAAGAGUCAGAGAGCGAGAGAGAGCGAGAGCGAGAAGAGCGAGAGCGAGAAGAGCGAGAGCGAGAAGAGCGAGAGAGAGCGAGCGAGAAGAGCGAGAGAGAGCGAGCGAGCGAGAAGAGUCAGAGAGAGCGAGCGAGCGAGAAGAGUCAGAGCGAGCGAGAAGAGUCAGAGCGAGCGAGCGAGCGAGCGAGAAGAGUCAGAGCGAGCGAGCGAGAAGAGUCAGAGCGAGCGAGAAGAGUCAGAGCGAGCGAGCGAGCGAGAAGAGUCAGAGCGAGCGAGAAGAGUCAGAGCGAGCGAGCGAGAAGAGUCAGAGCGAGCGAGCGAGCGAGAAGAGUCAGAGCGAGCGAGAAGAGUCAGAGCGAGCGAGAAGAGUCAGAGCGAGCGAGAAGAGUCAGAGCGAGCGAGAAGAGUCAGAGAGAGCGAGCGAGCGAGAAGAGUCAGAGAGAGCGAGCGAGAAGUCAGAGCGAGCGAGAAGAGUCAAAGCGAGCGAGAAGAGUCAGAGCGAGCGAGAAGAGUCAGAGCGAGCGAGCGAGAAGAGUCAGAGCGAGCGAGCGAGAAGAGUCAGAGCGAGCGAGCGAGAAGAGUCAGAGCGAGCGAGCAGAGUCAGAGAGAGCGAGCGAGCAGAGUCAGAGAGAGCGAGCGAGAGAGAAGAGUCAGAGAGAGCGAGCGAGAGAGAAGAGUCAGAGAGAGCGAGCGAGAGAGAAGAGUCAGAGAGAGCGAGCGAGAGAGAAGAGUCAGAGAGAGCGAGCGAGAGAGAAGAGUCAGAGAGAGCGAGCGAGAGAGCGAGCGAGAAGAGUCAGAGUGAGCGAGCGAGAGAGAAUAGUCAGAGAGAGAGAGCGAGCGAGAAGAGUCAGAGUGAGCGAGCGAGAGAGAAGAGUCAGAGAGAGCGAGCGAGCGAGAGAGAAGAGUCAGAGCGAGAGAGAAGAGUCAGAGCGAGAGAGAGAAGAGUCAGAGCGAGAGAGAGAAGAGUCAGAGCGAGAGAGAGAAGAGUCAGAGCGAGAGAGAGAAGAGUCAGAGCGAGAGAAAGAGGCAGAGAGAAGAGAAGAGGCAGAGAGAGAGAGAGAGAGAGAGAGAGAGAGAAGAGAAGAGGCAGAGAGAGAGAGAAGAGAAGAGGCAGAGAGAGAGAAGAGAAGAGGCAGAGAGAGAGAGAAAAGAGGCAGAGAGAGAGAAGAGAAGAGGCAGAGAGAGAGAGAAAAGAGGCAGAGAGAGAGAGAGAGAGAGAGAGAGAGAGAGAGAGAGAGAGAGAGAGAAGAGACAGAGAGAGAGAAGAGACAGAGAGAGAGAAGAGACAGAGAGAGAGAAGAGGCUGAGAGAGAGAAGAGGCUGAGAGAGGAGGGAGCGAAGAUGCUGAGAGAGGAGGGAGAGAGAAAAGAGGCUGAGAGAGGAGGCUGAGGGAGAGAGGAUAGAGAGAGAGAAAGAGAGGAGAGGGAAAGCAAAAGAAAGUAGGGUAGAGAGUGAGGUUGUGUGUCCAGGCAUUAAGGGCCUCCAGCCAGCUCUGCGGUCGAGGGCUGAAAUCUGCCGCCGUAAACAGGAUGUGAAAGAUUUCCAGACAUCGACCACUCACGCCAAAUUUAAACCCAUUUGUGGUCGGAGCAGAAAGAGGGAAGAAAACAGAAAGAGGCUUUGAAGGGAGAGACGUGGGCUCAUAGGCCCAAUUUGGAACACAUCAGCUUUGGGCGGGGGUAGCUAUUUUGCAGCCUUAGCAAAUUUCUAACAAUCAGGUCUGUCAUUAUUGGGCUUUUCACAGCUAUAACCACACUUAUCUGUCAUGUACAUUUACGUCUUGAUUGCUGUUGCAUGUAUAAUAUGUUAGGUCGUGUUGUUAACAUUGAUCCAGUCAUCGAAGUUUGGCCAUGUUAAUCACUUUUGAUAAGAGGGCUCAACUCAAAAUAAGUCCAUCCUGAGGCUCAACUUAUAUUUGGGCCUUCUGGUAUUUCAGGUAGGCCUGUGUGUGUGUGCGCGCAUGAGAAAGAGAGAGAGAGAGCAAGAGAGGGGGAGGGAAGGCUAGGGAGAUAUACUGUAGAGUGCUGUAUGUUUAAUUCUAUACUCUGGACUCCUGCGGUUGACACUGAACCUAGUGAGAAACAGAGUGGGUCGGCAGUCAGCCGCCAAGCCGGUCCGUUUUAUGUGCCAAACACAGAAAGGUGAUGAAAAUGUGAUACUGCCUAGAGACUUGAAACAGUAACCCAACUGGGCCUCCAUUAAUCCUCUUCUCAUCCUCCCUCAGUCUUUCUGGGGAAAGGACGUGUGGCCUCUGUAGGGGGAGGAGGAUGUUAGGGGGGCUGCAGUAAGGUCCCCCUCCCCCCCAGCAUCUGUUAGUCCUUUCCACCUAACCACCCCUUACUAUAUUCAACCUGCACUUAUCCCACAUUAACACUCCUCUGGGUGUCUGAGUGUGUGUGUGUCUGACUCAGUGACCUUCAGAGAGUGUGUAGUGUGUGUGUGCGCGUUUGUAGUUUGCGUGUGCUGUACACGUACGAUCUGACCUCCCUUCCACCCCACGUCUUCCCCAAGGCCUCUCCAUGUAUUAUGUCAUCUCAGGUAGGUUUGAUGGAACUUUCCUUUAUAUAUCCCGAGAAACAGAAUGCCGUCAAAACAAAAGUUAUGGGUCAUUCCACGAAAUGAGUCCCUUUUGAAUCCCUUUGAUAUUUAAAAAAAGGCCCAAUGCAGCCAUUUUUAUCUCAAUAUCAAAUCAUUUCUGUGUAACAAUUACAUACCUUAUUGUGAUUGUUUCUUUUUGACUAUUUUGAUUGACAACAAACGGCUUUUUAGCAAAGAGCAAUUUUCCUAGCAAGAAUUUUUCUAGGACUGUCAGAGUGGGGAGGGGAAAACUGAAAACUAGCCGUUAUUGGUAGAGAGGUUUGGAACUCUUUCUUAUUGGUCUAUUAACUAAUUUACCGACUGGUGUUGUCACCAGACAGGCCAAAACUCCAUCAAACCAAAACAGGCAAAAAUGUCACAUUUAUUUUCAAACAGCUCUUACACUUAAAGGGCAUUAUCAUCCUUUAUCAUGCUAGUGUGGAAAUAUCUAUAAAACUUUUUGGGGAAGUUUGUAAUCAAUUGCCACUGCCUGUUGCACACAAAAAGCUUACAUACCUCCUCCAGCCAGUGAGGAUUUACAGUUAUUUAAGAUGAAAUGGUCAACCCUGUUACUUUAUUUGGCACUUAAUAGGCACUUACUAAAGUCAUUUCUUUUAUUCAACCUCUUGAAAAACAUAUUUUUUAUGACAAUGUUAAAAUUAUGUAAAAUAAAAUGUUUUACACCAAAUUACACUUCCCAAAAGGGACUCCUUUUGUGGAAUGGCCCUUAUUCAACCAGAGCACUAUAUAUCCCACAUGCUGAAGGACACUGGGAUAUACAGAGAAAUGGAUCUCUGAAGCCAGAUCUAACAUGGUUAUUCCAAAAAGUCCUUUAGUCAGUGAUUUAAAAACCAUGGCUGAGGUUUGGGCUGAGCUCCAGGAGCAGACAGCACAGCAGGCUACAGCUAUGCAGAGGAGAUGUUGUACUACACUUACCAGCCAGGAGAUGGUGCUAUUUCUCAACCCAGUGAGUCUGACUUGACUGAGCUUAGACAGUUUAUAUAUUCUAUAUCUGUGGUGCUGAAUACAUGCAUUGGUUUUCAUACAAAUAUAUCUCAAUGACGACUGUGGUCCUCAGUCAGUGAGAUCUAGUAUAUUGUUGGCCUUUAUCCCCAGUACAUAAUAUAAGUACAUCUGAGCUUUGAGGUCUGCUUCUCCUGUGAACAAUAGUAAUAAAGACCAGCCUUACUAUCCCCCUUCAUGACCUGUGCCUGUCAGUUUGUUCAUCAGUCUCUGAGAUGGGAG
This 3930-nucleotide long non-coding RNA is filed under the name Salmo salar (Atlantic salmon). RNAcentral describes it as "lncRNA (ENSSSAG00000085542.1)". The record is from RNAcentral. Lineage: Eukaryota; Metazoa; Chordata; Actinopteri; Salmoniformes; Salmonidae.